AGGUGACAUGGAGACCUUUCUUGAGAAUGAAGCCCUGACCCACCCAGGGAGGCCAGCCCAAAAAGGUGGACAGCUGGGAGAUGAAUAGAUUCUCCUCCACACUCCUAUGUCUGGGAAAAUGGAUUUUAGCUCUGAGGCACUCCCCAAGUAACCUGAGUCACGGCAGUGUGAGUCCUCCAAACUCAGCCCAGCAGUCAAACAGCACCAGGUGAUGAAUGAAUCCUGUCUGGACGCUGGCUCUGUAAGGAAAGCAGCUUUUAAAGGAACCUUCAGCUUUUACUACCAAUUCCAGCUCAGAAACGACCAACUCUUCAGAGAGCUCAAAGGAAUUCUCAGCUGGCCCUGAGGACACUCCAGCCUACCAUGGUGGUUUAAGAAGGCUGAAACAGAAGUCUUGGCAAAAUUUCCAUGAUCUAACGGGAGAAGAAAAGUGGAAAAGUGGCUGCUGUUGGAGGGGCCGUGUUGGCCCGCACAGGGCAGAGGGACCUGCCCUCUGGUCACUGCCACCCUGAGCCAGGAGAAAGUGCCAUGGAAAAACAAGAAGCAGGCUGAAGAGCAAUAUUAAUGGGGAAAGUCACCUCCUUCCUUCUUUGUCGAUGAAACAGCUUGUUCCAGGUAUUUUGUUUUUGAACAGAACAAACGGCUGCUGUCUUUCCAAAGGCCUUCAGCCUCAGGAAGAAGCAUCCCAGGAGCAGGCAGGCUCACCGGUACCAGCGUUGCUCAUCCCGGGAAUUGCUCACUGAGCAGCAGGAGAGCUGAGAGCCAGACUCACAGCUUAGCUGUGCUCCCUCUUGCUCAACAUCCAUCAGGAUGCAGUGUUGGGAUCCAUCCCCAGAUAAAUAUACCUCUAAGAUUCCCCUCAUAUAAUUAGGCUGCAGCACAGUUCCCUUGGGGCAUUUGAUGAGUAGAGUCUCCCUCUUGGAGCUCCUUUCUACAACUGGUACUUCCUGGGGAGGUUUUCUGAAACCCCACAACUGGGGUUUGAGGCUCUAAGGUAUUGCAGAACUUCUUUUCCCAGACAUUGAGCUUGGCACACUAUCUGUGAAAAAGAGAUAGUCAAAAUGAAUAGAUUCAAAUCUUACAGAAAGUGAUUUAAGUCCAGUGCAUGCUUUGUAGCACACUUAGAAAUAAGAUUUCCAUGCAGAUAUGUAGCCCUCCUUAGGCAAUUCCUCAUAAAAUCCUCUUAUGUUUGGACAGAGAAGUGCUCUCUAUGAUGGAAAUGCCCAGAGCUCUCAUCUUCUAGAGUUUGACUGUCCUGGUGAGACUCAACAAAUGAUCACUGUGUCCUUUGUAUUGCAACUUGGCAUUGUUUUCUUUUCCUUUGUCCAGGGCUGCCCUCCAGUGCAGCCAUACAGGGUUGUAUGCUAGAUACAUCUGUGAUGUAUGUUCAUAACAUCUACAACAUCAGAAAGAACUCAUCAGCUGUACAUUAACCUAUUCCCUAGGCUGUCAGGAUUUUCAGAAAAGGCUAACAAGUUCCAAGGCCUUCAACUCAUGGUGCUUCGGUCAGGAUUACUGAAAGCAAACUGGAUUGUGUCCAGAACUUCCUGAGUGCACAAGGUUUUGCAGCUUUGAGAAAUCAGUUUACAGCAUAAAAAAACCCUCAUUGAUUGUGAGAUCACACCGGGCUGUAAGUAGGCUGCAUGUUAUUUGAGAAUUUAGUGGCAGUAUUAGCCUCACCAUAAAAACCUGAAGGUUUUCACCUAGCCACACUUUUGGCAGAGUUAUAAAGAUGUAACACCCUUUCUCAGUGGAUAGAAACGUUGGGUUUGUGUCACAAAAGUCCUCAGUCAGACUAGAGUCCAAACUGGUGUUAAACACAGAUACAGAUACAGUUGCCUGCCCCCCACUCCCUUCUUUUCUGCAUCACUUUGCACAAGUGUUCUGGAUCAAUUGUUCUGCAGUAACCCUAAAGGAAAUCCAUGAGGGCCACACAAUUGAUAAAAACGAAAUAGAAAAAUCACAAAAACAUACACCUUCUGAGAAGUAAGGGGGAGAGGAGAGCCAGUGGGUAAUUCACCAAAACAAUAUAUUUUAAGAUUACGUGAAAACUCCACUUAAAAGCUGUGCUGUAGAAGAUAUCUCAAUUGCACUUACUUGCACCCUUAACUUGGAUACUUCCAGAUACAGAGUUCAGUUCCCAGUUGCACACAGGGAUGAUGCUUUCUGGUUUUAGUAGUAUCUUCAUUACGUUCUUGUUCAGCACGAGCUUAUCUGUUUAUAUGUACCUGUUUGGUCCUGGAAAAAUAAGUUUUGGGUUUUGUUUGUUUAAUUUAAAGGGAAAUUAAAGGGUUCUACAAACAAUGAAAUCGACAAAAAUUAGAUUAAGGUGGAGACCAGUUAGAAAUUACUCUGUCAAGAGACACAAAGAGAUGUCUAUGUUUCAGUUAAGAAUACUAUUUUUUCCAGACAAUGAUGUAUUAAAUAACACAGAUUUUGUAAACCUUCAUGCUACUAAACUGCUUGAUGCUAGGAAGUCAAAUCGAUAGAGAGCUUUUACUUUGUCUUCACUCCAUUCUACAAACAUAGCCAGAUGGAUUAAGGUGAAGGAAUAAAAACAUGACAUGAGGAUGUCAUUGCUGUGACUCAUACCUGAGCUACCCCAAAAAUGAAGAGUUUGGAGGAGACAGUUGUCCUUGGAGCACUGUCUUGGAACUUCCCCAGGAAUAGAUCUGGUGGAAGAAAGUCACAAGUGAGAAGUACCAGAAGUUGAAGCGGCAUUGGGAUGAAAAAUGGACUAUUGCUUCUCCAUGCAUGGCUCUUGCUCGUGGGCUGCAGGGGUGUCUGCAAUCACAUGCAGAUUGCCCUCUCUGACCAGAAAACCUGUGAUAACACUCACAGGACUUUUUUCUUAGUAGAAGAAAUCGAUUGAACCCACCCCUUUUCUCAUUCCACUUUUGGAAAGGGAAAGAAACACUGAACUUUCCUAGCUUUUAUAGCACUGCUGACAAAUGGCAAUCAGGGAGUUCUACACACAGUAACUAGAAGGGUGAUGAGGCACGAGCAGCCACUUGUGCAUUUCAGUAGUUUUGAGAUAGCCUAAUCAAUGUUUAUUUGUUUUGAUUCUCCCUAGUAGUGAGCAGAGGUUACAUGGGCACACCAAUGAAACAAUUAAAUGUGAAUUUAGGCAUAGAAUUUUGAAGAUUUUAUGUGACUUUAUGUUGGCCAACAGCAGAAAUAAACUACAGUUAUUUUGAUAUUUGGGAUGGUUGUAUUGGUAACAACAAUAUUUAAGGUGAACUUCAAAAGAUGGCUUUGUCUUUUGCUGAAAU
Molecule: long non-coding RNA, 3272 nt
Organism: Myiozetetes cayanensis
Lineage: Eukaryota; Metazoa; Chordata; Aves; Passeriformes; Tyrannidae
Exons: 6
Source: RefSeq, a predicted model, not a curated record